GCUGUGCCUGAUGACGAGCUCACCUUCCUGACUCACUGUGAGCGCCCGCCCUACCAGCCCUGCUGAUGCCGGAGCACAGUUGCAAACUGUGAUGCCGACGUCCAUCCCCUGGCUUUCUUGGUGGACCUGCCCAACUCCUGGAACCCAGAAGUGGAGCCUACAGGACCCGAAUCCACAAAGUACUGAUGGCUGGGAGGGGUGACGUCACCUCAGACCCUGUGCCCCAAUGCAAUGACUCUCCCCUGGCUGCUGGCUUCUGCUGCCUGCAGACUCCUGAGGCAGUGGCCCUGGGUGUGGUUCCAGCAUCCAUAUUUCACUAAAAGAGCCCCUGAUGACUGUGGUAGGGCUGAGAGCCACUGCAGGGCUUUCAAAGACACCUCUGUCAUGAGCUCUGGACACCACUCAAAAAGGUUCUGAUUUGAGAACAUUUUGGAUUUCAAAUUGUCGGAUUAGUGAUGCUCAACCUGUAUUGACUUCAAGUGUUAAGGCCCCAAAUAGAAGAUCCAUUUUUUUGAAUCAACCUUACAUGGCAUUUCUUUUUUAAGCAGUGAUUCACAAAACUACUUCGGUCAAUGAGAGACUGUCGAGCUAAAAGAAAACCGCAGAGCCUUAGGGCUAGGCGGCCUGGCAGGCACACAUGACAGUGCGCUAUCCUGAAUGUGACUUGGCUUGGAGAUUCCAUCAGCAUAGAUAGAGCGGUGGCCCUAUGCCAAAAUGAGCACUCCACUUAGUUAUUCAGGGGAAACUCCGGGAUAUACUCAGGCCUUGAAAUGAGGCAGAAGCUUGCAAGGUUUCAGGCUGCGUUCAAACUUCCCCUGCCAGCCAGCCAUGUUGGAAGCAUCAAGCAUCAAAGCCUCAUGAGUCAGCAUUUGGAGAGGGAGAUCAGCCAGGCUAAAUUUGGAGAUUUUUGACUCAGCCAUCAGUGAAAUUCAGCAGUUCCUCCUGAAGCUUUUGGUGACCUUUUGGUUUCAUCCAAGCUCAAAUACCAAAGGCACCGUGAAAGUGGAUGGAAUUAUAAACCCUUGCGUGAAGAUUGUGCAGCUGGCGUUCUGAGAUCAGUUCAUCCACCACAGAGCUAAACACAUCUCUGUGCCUCUAGCUUUUCCUUUCCUGUGAAGGGGGAGGGACAAGAGGUGGAGGCAAACAAACAGGAGGUGGCGAGGAGAUGCCCCUCGCCAUGCCUGGUGCAGAAUGCGGAAGGCACCCAUCUGGACCUCACCAGCGCCGGCGCCCAGUAGCUCUCUCCCACCAGCUCUCCACAGAGCUCAGAAGGGCCCACGUCCAUGCGUCCUCCAACACAGCCUUGGGUAUUGCCAACUGAGCCUUUAAGCGAGUGUUCGGUUGACACUAAGUGCUUUUUGCUCUCAGCACAAUUAUGUAUUUCUGAAUAACACUCGAAGCAUCCUUUGAAUGUGAAAAUGGGUUAGAUCAAAACGUCAAAGUGCACUUCUGUCCGCAAUGAUCCUUUUUAAUGCAUCUGUGGUUUCUCACAUUAAGAGAAAAUGUGAAUUUCGCUGUGUGCUUUUAUGUGUCUACUCUGUGACUUGUUUUUCCAGGCUAUACUUAUAAACAGAAACAAUAGAAGAACAUAAAAUAUGAAUACAGUAUCCAUAUUAAAGUAUAAUAAGCAUU
Molecule: long non-coding RNA, 1632 nt
Organism: Piliocolobus tephrosceles (Ugandan red Colobus)
Lineage: Eukaryota; Metazoa; Chordata; Mammalia; Primates; Cercopithecidae
Exons: 2
Source: RefSeq, a predicted model, not a curated record